RNAcentral lists this unclassified non-coding RNA (1100 nucleotides) under Hevea brasiliensis (rubber tree). Lineage: Eukaryota; Viridiplantae; Streptophyta; Magnoliopsida; Malpighiales; Euphorbiaceae. The record is from RNAcentral.
UUUCAAGCCUGGUAACCAUCCCUGUGACAGUUAAAAUUAUCAUUCAGUCCAGAAGCACGCACCAUUAGCACAAUCAAUAACCUUAGUAGUUUCAGCAAAAUUGUCCAUAUUAGAUUCACAAUGAAUAUGGAAGAGUAGCUAGCUAACUUGUCUAUUCACUGUUCAGAUUAAAUACUAAUGCAAAUAGGUAGCUAACUUCUUUAUACAAGGAAAUCUACAGUCACUAAUCUUUAUUCCUCUAUAUAAAAAUUUCAAUUAAGCAGAAACCAUGUAUUUUAGAAUAAAUGCUUCCUCUUUUUUUGAAUUAAGAGUAACAUGUCUAAAUUUCAGUAAUUUUAAUUUGCUUAAAAAAUCAUAAAGACAAAAUACAUACUCUAUCAAAUAACAAAGUUAUGUUUGCAUUGAAUGAAAGGUUUUAGACUUGCUUAUGCCCAAUUCAUGAGUAAUGCAUUGAUCGAGUGGUCUAAAAUUUUAGCUCCAGACUAAAAGCCAAUAGAAUCAUUUUAUAUCAGCAUAACUUUUAUUCAAUCAUGAAUAACAAUUGGAUUUAACCAUGAAUUUUGAUAAUGUAGCAAAAUUCUAUCAACUGUAGCCUACGGAGAUGUAGUACACCAAGUCUUCCCAAGUAUAUCUCUAUGCAGGAUGACCUAAAAUGGUGUGGAAUGAAGUCAUGAAAAAUGAUUGGGUAUCACAAUAGAUAUUAGAAAGUUUGGUACUAAUUGAAGAAAAGGUAUCCUCUUAGACAACACCAACUAGCUAGAUAAUUGCGAUUGAGACUCAAUUGAAUUGAGUUGAGCUUAUUUAUUUAGAAUCUACCAAUGUUAUUAAAAGCACAAAGGGGGUUUUGAAGCCUAGGCACAAGCACAAGCUUGAGUGAGGUGAGAUACAAAUUAAAUAAAAUAAGAAAAGUAAUCCUAUAUUAGACAAUUACUCAUACUAAUAACAUAAAACAUUUACAAUUUUAGCACAAAUGGUUUUUAAAUAAAAAAAAUAGAAUUAAAAAUUUUAAAAUGUCUUGAGCCAUAAUCAUAAUUCCUACUAAAUAGCAAUAAUCCCUAAAACAACCAUAAGACUCAUCAUCAACAUAUCAUAGAUUUCUU